CCUAACACUGUAAUUAUUACAGUUCAUACUUACAGUCAUUGCAUGACUGCAACAACUAAAAGUGCAUCCCAAGUGCUACCUUCAAAGCCUUUCAGCCUCACAACACAGACUUGAGAAAGGAAUGGUGAAUAAUGAUGUCCCGAGCUCUCUUCCAUUCACAGAGCAUGUUGUUUCUGUAGCCACUAUUAGCUAAUAGAGUUGCAAACAUCGCUCAAAGUUUCCCUUGUAAUUUUGUGACACUUCUCUACAACUGGAAUCUUUAAUCCUGUUUAUGGUGCAUACAUUUUUGGGGAAAAUCUGCAAAAUAUUUCCUUAAUAAUAAUAAUAAUAACUACUUAAUUUUUGUACCAUCUCCCCAAAGGGACUUGGGGCAGCUUAAUAUGACACCAAGUGCAUAAAACAAAGCAUAAAAUAAACACAGAGUGCAAUACAAAAAAGUAAAACCAAUAGCAUAUAAAACAACAAUUUAAACUCAGAACAACACCCAAUAACCUAUGGUGACAGUUAUAAACUAUUAAGGGUGUGCACAUUUUGGGGACUAUCAUUGAUCUAUCUAUCCAUCUAUCUAUCUAUCCAUCUAUCUAUCAUCUAUUGCAAGCAUAGCGUUGAUUCAGGAUGUGUUAGCAAGUAACAAGAUGACCUCCUAAUCCAUACACUCAAAAGUCAGCCUGACUUGUUUGUGCAAAAUGGAUAAUAGGACCUAAAAGCAUAAGCUACGUUUAAGGGUGCAUUCUUUUUUUCUUCAAAAUAAAUUAAAACUCGAGUUGGUGUUGUAUUUUGAUUUACUGGAUUAACUGCUGUAGAUUUGUCUGGGGAAUAUUUGGAAUGAUGUUUUGUGGGAGUGAUAAGACAUGUUAGUUAAAACAUUUCUCAUCACUCCCUGGAUUUCCUAUGGGUGGGGAUCUCUUGUCAGUUAAACUGGUUCAUUUGUGUACCACAAACAUAGCUUUAGGCCUUCAAAUGCUUGUCAUCACUAGCUGCACAACUGAAAGCAUUUGGAAAGAUAUUGAACUGUGUCUAUGAACAUCUCUUUACUACACUUUAGAGAAGCAUCCAUGAUUGUACUCCCGGACAAUGAAAAGCAGCCAAAACAAUGGUAGUACCUUAUUUCAUUGCCCAGGAAACAGUAAAAACAGAUAAAAUGCUGGUAACCUAAAUCAAGAAUCCUUUGAUUUAAGAACAUACAGUUGGAGAGGCUGGAAAUCUUUAACGCUUGAAAACUACCACCCACAAAUACUGAAGAUCUGUUUAUGGCAGUGGAGAUGGUUUUGCAAAGAGCAAGGAGAAGACUAUAACACUUUAUUUUUUGUUCCACUCUCAGGAAUUAACCAACCAUCCUGUCUUUCUAUGGCUUCUUUCACCACAAUCAAUGGACCAUGAAAUAACUUGUCUGGAACAAUCACGAUUGGCUACAGUUCUUCACUAUGCAUUCGAGACUUAUUAUAAUUCUUGGCAGCCCUUCAACAUGAUUCUUAAAUUUCAACAGCAAGGGGGAAAAGGUGACUAUUGCCAAUGUCCAGUCUUUAUUAAUACUGUGAAAAGAAAAUGGGAACUGAAGACUCCUGCAGCGUUUGUGAAUUGAAAUUAGUAAAGACUCCCCCCCACCCCCGUUUCUUAAAAAAACAUAUUAAAAGAUUUCCUUGGUUCAUACUCAUGUCUUUGAAUAAACCAAGCACGGGGAACAACCAAGAAAUUAUUCACAAGACAAUAAUUGUUUUGUGGGGAGGGGGAGCCAUUGCAUUUUCAAUGAGGAAUGAAAGUAAUUAUUUGUUGGUGUACACUCUGUGGGCCUUCAAUCUAUGAGCAGCAGGAAACCAGAGCUUGUUCUCCAAGCUGUACAUUGAAGCCUAUCAUCGUGCAGCUUCCCCUUCUCUCCUUUAGUUUAAAGCCAGGUUAUACUGUCUGAAAGCUCAUUAGGUAGGAUCCCUCUUGGAGCAUCACUUAAGGCUUCAGUGGGAUUAUUCAAUCUUACUUAAGAGUGGGGUGGGAUUUUUGGAUUUUACUUAUUCAAGGGUCAACCCAACCCGUCCUUACAUACAUAAAACAGCAGGCCAAAGGAAAAUUGUGUAGCAUUACUUUCUUUUGAAUUUGCUACUUUAUUAAAUGCAAUGGUACUUCUGAUUGGAAUCUUGUUGGUGACAUAUGCACUAGUUAACCUGGAGUUAUGCAAGUGUUUUUGUUUUGAUAUUAAUUUCUCAAGGAGGCAUAUAGUAGCUUCUUGCACAAAGUCUUUUUGCACACAUCAAAAAAGAAGAAAAUAGUCCCAUGCCCUCAUGAUCACAAUCUAAUGAAGACAUGACAUAAAAAGAAAUCCUCUCCAUCCUCUCUCGCUUUUUAAAUCUCCUUUCCUUUCUCUAUCUCCCUCCAGAAUGGAGGAAACCUUUUGUCCACCAUCAUCCCCCUUCUUUCGGGGGUGCUUUGAAUGUGAUUUUUCCUGCUUCUUGGCAGGGGGUUAGACUGGAUGAUCCAUGGGGUCUCCUCCAACACUAUGAUUCUAUGAAAAGGCAAUGGUAAUGUUGGAGGGGAUUGAAUUCAGAAAGCACUGACUCUUCAUCCCUCCGUCCAAGGCAGGGGUCCUCAAACUUUUUAAACAGGUCAUGGUCUCUCUCUUGCCAGGCUAUAGUUUGUUGUUGUUUCAGAGUUAGGGUAACACUAAGGCAAUCUUGUCACAAUAGUUUUCUUAUCAAGAUUUAUUGAUUGGCCAUUUGACUUUGUCUUAAUCUGAGUCAAGAGAGUGUGACAGUCCAGAAAGAGUUUUAUCACAUGACUUUGUGAAUAACACUAAAAUAAAUUAUCUCAGUUCUCCUCUUCCACUUCCACUCUUCUUCCUUGCCAAGUAGUAAACUAACCAAAUUUCUGCUUUUUUUUUAAACCAAUACAGUAGAGUCUCACUUAUCCAAACUAAACGGGCAGGCAGAACCUUGGAUAAGUGAAUAUCUUGGAUAAUAAGGAGGGAUUAAGGAAAAGCCUAAAUGACUAAACGACUGAGCAGCAAGGAAAAGCCUAUUAAACAUCAAAUUAGGUUAUGAUUUUACAAAUUAAGCACCAAAACAUCAUACUAUACAACAAAUUUGACAGAAAAAGUAGUUCAAUACGCAAUAAUGUUAUGUUGUAAUUACUGUAUUUAUGAAUUUAGCACCAAAAUAUCACGAUAUAUUGAAAAUAUUGACUACAAAAAUGUAUUGGAUAAUCCAGAACCUUGGAUAAGUGAAUCUUGGAUAAGUGAGACUCUACUGUACCACCAUUAUGUGCACACAGUUCUUUUGGUGCUAUACAUACACUAUUUUGGAUAGAAUCUACGCAGUUUUAACCAAGCCGGUAAGAUAGGAUAUCAGACACAGUAUAUUUAGAUUCAUUUGUAAAACAAGGAAAACUAGAAAAAUCUACUUUUGGAUUGCAACCUCUGUUGAAAGUAUUAUAAUGUUACAAAAUUAUAUUGUUCAUGUACCUUUAACAGGUAAUAUGCUUUGUCAAUUUGAUACAGGUGGAGCUGUGUUUGUUAUAUAUAUAUUCUUUGCACUUUGCACUCUGCCUGUUCUGCUGUGUUUUUUCUCUUUGAGUUUUGUUUUGUUCCUGCAUUAUGCUUCUGUAUUAAAUUAAGUUUGACCACAUUA
Long non-coding RNA from Anolis carolinensis (green anole), 3614 nucleotides. RefSeq lists it as uncharacterized. The record is from RefSeq and is a predicted model, not a curated record. The transcript has 2 exons. Lineage: Eukaryota; Metazoa; Chordata; Lepidosauria; Squamata; Anolidae.